UAAACACGAUCCCUUCAUCGCUCUGUUCUCUACCCCAUAUCUUCCUCUCCCUCUCCCUCACACGUAUCUUCCUCUAUUUCUUUCUCUCUCUCUAAACCCUAGAAACUAUCCCACCGACCCUUCCUUUCUCAGAAGAAAUUCCGCGCAUCUCCACUCUCCAUUCUCUCUCUUCCCCCAGGGAAAACGAAAUCAUCUUCUCUCCACAAACUGAAGCAAGGGAGUUUUCGGCAUGGAUCCAGCUGAUCAAUGAUCGUAAUGCAUCAAAUUUUGGUUCCUCAUCUGGAUCUAAAAAGCAAUUGGAUCAGGAUCUAAACCAAUGGCGACAACACAAAACAAACCCGGAAAGUACGCGGACACGGAUUGAUAUAUCAGUUCACAUUAUUCAAUAUCUGCAACACUGUAUGGAAUAUUUUUCGUAGGUUCAGAACCUACAAGAUCUAAACCAAUGGCGACAACACAAAACAAACCCGGAAAGUACGCGGACACAGAUUGAUAUAUCAGUUCACAUUAUUCAAUAUCUGCAACACUGUAUGGAAUAUUUUUCGUAGGUUCAGAACCUACAAGUAAGCACUUUCAAUUUGAUUUUAUGUUUGUGCAGCUUUUUUAGUUUCUUUCCAAUAUAAUUGGUGUAGUUGAUUGAUUGCUUGACCAAAGCAUUCAACGUCACAAACGGAUUAAAAGUGGACCAGUUUGUGGGUUCCAAGUUUCUAAAUAUUAUUCAGAUGAUAUAUGUAGUUGGGCAGUGCUACGUCUUCGGUUUUUCUAAUCUCCUCAACUUACAUGCUUGAUCACACUGUAAUCCAUGAUGGACGAUGCAGUGGAGAAGGGUUGACGCAAGGCAAUGCUGCAGGUUCCAUUUGUUAUCUAGCGUCCGCCUAUCGGUCAUCUCAACAAACUACGUGGGCAGGUGUUUCUCAAUGGGCAGGCGUUUCCUCUCCACCUGUGCAUCUCCAGAGUCACUCCCAACUGCCGGUAGCUAGGCCCAUUAUUGUCCUUAGUACGGCCCUAACAGCCACCAGCAUACCGAUUACAGCCUGUCUAUUUCUAAAAAAAAAUCCUGCACUUUUCUUGGACCAGGGAAAGACGAUAAUCAGACCAACUAGAUAGCAAAUGCAGAUAUGCAUCGAACAGACUCCAUGUACGUGUUACAAGACUGAAGGGCACAAAUCCUUUCUUUGAAUUGACACAUGUCGAGAAAAAGCAUGCACUUCCCUUGAGCAGGGCGAAGACGAGAAUCGGACCAACUAGAUAGGACCGUGGGUUUAGGAAAGUGUUGAGGCGGGCGUUGUCUAUACAGCGUCCGGAUGCUGGACGCGCAUUUUGUGGAGAUGUCGAUGCAAUGGCACCGGAAGAGGGAUUCAUAUCCGGUGGCAGCUAUAGGCUGCGGCAGGGUAGUCCGGCAUGGGCUCGCGGAAGACUGGAAAUUUGGAAAAGGAUGGGCGAGGAGUACAUAGAGAGGCAAACCGGACACAGCGAGGGGCAGAUACAUGGCACGUCAACACGUUUUUUAGAGGUGGCUUCUACAGUUUUUGUUGUUGGAAUACAAACAACAGAACAUAUACGGUUUGCAUGUCUCCAUAUCUAUGACUUUAGCCACAAACAGCAUUUUAGAUGGCACCUACAGUUUUUUUUAUUGAACAGAUUGGGAGUUUUAAAUAGCUUGAGAUAUAAGUUAUUUAAAUUAUAAUUAAGAUUUUUUA
Triticum aestivum (bread wheat) is the source of this 1700-nucleotide long non-coding RNA. RefSeq lists it as uncharacterized. The transcript has 5 exons. The record is from RefSeq and is a predicted model, not a curated record. Lineage: Eukaryota; Viridiplantae; Streptophyta; Magnoliopsida; Poales; Poaceae.